CCUACGGUGGGCAGCAGUGGGGAAUAUUGGGCAAUGGGCGCAAGCCUGACCCAGCAACGCCGCGUGAAGGAAGAAGGCUUUCGGGUUGUAAACUUCUUUUGUCAGGGACGAAGCAAGUGACGGUACCUGACGACUAAGCCACGGCUAACUACGUGCCAGCAGCCGCGGUAAUACGUAGGUGGCAAUCGUUAUCCGGAUUUACUGGUUGUAAAGGGCGUGGAGGCGGGACUGGAAGUCAGAGGGGAAAACCACGGGCUCAACCUGUGGCCUGCAUUUGAAACUGUAGUUCGUGAGUACUGGAGAGGCAGACGGAAUUCCUAGGGUAGCGGUGAAAUGCGUAGAUAGUAGGAGGAACACCAGUGGCGAAGGCGGUCUGCUGGACAGCAACUGACGCUGAGGCGCGAAAGCGUGGGGAGCAAACAGGAUUAGAUACCCGUGUAGUC
Molecule: ribosomal RNA, 443 nt
Filed under: uncultured bacterium
Lineage: Bacteria
Description: partial 16S ribosomal RNA
Rfam family: Bacterial small subunit ribosomal RNA
Source: RNAcentral